This is a long non-coding RNA of Oncorhynchus tshawytscha (Chinook salmon), 1247 nucleotides long. The record is from Ensembl. Lineage: Eukaryota; Metazoa; Chordata; Actinopteri; Salmoniformes; Salmonidae.
UACAAACGUUUUGCGUUCGGUGGAACGUUGGUGCGUUAUCAUGGGAUGCUGUCUUCAAAUCUUGUCCCAAAUGGCAGUAACCUACUGGAAAGUGCAUAAAAUGUGAUGGAUUCUAUGUUAGCUAGCUGGCUAUGGCUAUCCAACACAACACUGAAACUCUUCCAAGUCAAGAGUUCCCAGUUGUCCUGAAAGCACCAAUAAUAAUAACUAGAGACAGCCUCUCCAAGAUGCCCGAUUGUUGUUUAAAACGCAAUCUACUCACGGUUGCAUAUACCAAUUCGUGGCUGCCGCCAUCUUGCUAGUUUCGAUUUUACUGGGACUACUCUGCCUGUGCACUAAUACGGGAAUAGCAUGAGCCCGAGCAGUAACUUCAUCACAAGCAUGAGUGCGGGAAGCUUUUGGGCAUUCUGCCAGUGUUGCCAGGGACAUGGAUCUGCGUGGCUGAGACAAGUUGGAGGAAGGUAAAUCUGUACCACAGUGACCACAACCACUUUAAAAAUUAAAGGAGUUGUAUGCAAGUAAAUUAAUGAGGACUAAAUCAAAUGUGCACAAGCUAGCUUGACAUGUGCACCUCAGGAGACCUAGCAGUUGUAUAUUUUCUAUUCAACACAAUGCAAUCACAACAAUUCAUAGGACUUGUUACAAAAUUAAUGAUGAAAAAAGUUUCUGAAAAAGCUUUGCAGUUAUGAUUUGCCUGUUAAUUAUUCGAGCUGUGUCACAAUUAAUCAGUAAAGUUCCCUUGUAUAACAAAAUUUACACAUUCAAAAUGGUUGUGCAUCCUGAUGUAAAACUUCAGUGCCUUCAAAAAGCAUUCAUAACUCUCGACUUAUUCCGCAUUUUGUUAUGUUACAACCUGAAUUCAAAAUGGAUUAAAUAAGUAAAAGUAAAACUAAAUGCAUGCUCUUCAACCGAAUCGCCUUCUUCUUCACGAUGCUGUCUGUGUAAGUGGACCAAUUCAGUUUGUCUGUGAUGUGUAUCCCGAGGAACUUAAAACUUACUACCCUCUCCACUACUGUUCCAUCGAUGUGGAUAGGGGGGUGUUCCCUCUGCUGUUUCCUGAAGUCCACAAUCAUCUCCUUAGUUUUGUUGACGUUGAGUGUGAGGUUAUUUUCCUGACACCACACUCCGAGGGCCCUCACCUCCUCCCUGUAGGCCGUCUCGUCGUUGUUGGUAAUCAAGCCUACCAAUGUUUGUUUUACUCCAUGUGUAACUCUGUCGUUGUAUGUGUCGAACUGCUUUGCUUUAUC